GGCUGGCAUCAGGUAUAAAGCUAAGCCGGUGCUUCUCUGAACUAUUCCUCCCAUGCAUUCAGCGCAAAGCAGCAGUAAAUGCUGGCACUCUGCGACGGACUGAUUGGCAAGAGUAGAUCAUAUGACAGCCACAGCGCGGCAGUUUGUUUUAUUCCGGCGUUGCGGAGAGAGGUGCUCGUGUGAUCCCCACCAGUGAGAGUAUAGCGCCUCCGGUCCUGGGGGUUUGAUUGCUGCAUUCACCUCUCCGUGGCAAAUCGCCCCAACCUAAAUCGGAAGAGUGAAACUCCUUCCCAGCCGCUGUUGUGAGGGCUCCUCCUCAGUGGAGCCUGCUGUCUUGUCUUGUCUGGUUUUGAAUUGUUUUAUCUUGUCUUAUUUGGUUUUAUUAAGUAGGCCUACCAUUUCCUGGUUCGCCUGGUUUUAUUUUAUUUUAUUUCUGAACUGUGGCGUGUGGCCACGCUUCUGUGAUCGGGCUGAAGCAAUCCUUUGCCCGAGUGUCAUGCCGGGAAUUUUAAAUUGCCUCCGUUGCUGGUCUUAGCCUGUGGGGAGCCAGACCAGCUGGCGAUUGAGGCUGGGACGACUACUACCA
Molecule: long non-coding RNA, 586 nt
Organism: Oreochromis niloticus (Nile tilapia)
Lineage: Eukaryota; Metazoa; Chordata; Actinopteri; Cichliformes; Cichlidae
Exons: 3
Source: RefSeq, a predicted model, not a curated record